UCCACAUGGAUGUACCCAAGCUGCUGGGUCCUUCUGCUCUGUCCCAAUUCCUUGUGCUGCAGAUGUCCUGCAGGUGUGCUCAAGGCACUGUGGCAUUCAGCCUGAGAUGCUGGAGAAAUGCUGGGGCACUCAACAAGAGAUGUGCAAAGUAAGAGAGGCUGGCAUGGACUGAGCAAGCAAGGACUGAGGCUGCAGCUAAGUAAUUUCAGAGAGAAACGCAUCUUGGUGGGGAUCACCUGACAUUUUCUUCAGAUACCUUAGAAGGGGAAACAAAAUGUAAAACAUCCCUAUCUUGUUGUAUGUCAUUUUUUUAAAGUGACAGCUGAUUACGUUUUAGGGAUGUUUUCUCAUUUUCUGAAUUAAAUCAGUUUGGCAUUCUGUAGCAGAUAGUACUCAUUAACCUUUUAAGGAUUGCCAAACUGCUUUGAAGCAUUUGUGGAAAAAUGAAGAAAGAAAAAAAAAAAAGAAAAGAAAAAAGUUAAACAUCACAGACAUAACCUGGUGCUUUUUGAAGCUACAGUCAGCAAGGACCUGGUCUUCUCCUUGUAGUAACUUAAUAGGUGUGACGCUUGUUUGUGUUCUGUUUAAGUAGGCUUGAAGAGGGUACUGUCUAUGAACAAAACUUGUGACAUACAUGUAUGUAUGAAUUAUAUUUAUUACCUGAACAGACUUUGAUGUUUACAUUGAUUCAAAUUUUUGUAAUUAAUGACUUCAUAUUUAUUCUUCCAGAUGACGGGAAUAGAAAAUGAAAGUUUUCUUUCUAAGCCUCAGUGAACAUGCACAGCAGAAGCCAGGAAGAAAAGAACGGCUUGAUUUUAAAUCACCACUGUGACAAAUUUGGGGAUCUAAGUUACUGGAGAUAUGAAUUAUUUUGGUUACGCUUACAACCUGUCAUGCAUUUCAGUCUGCAUUUCUUCUCAGCCUUCAGUGACUGUGGCACGACAAUUAGCUUCAUUAUCUGCAGUGGGACACAAGAUGCAGCUUCUGCAUUUCCACAUCAAGACACCAACAGUCAGUGCCUUGAUCCAACAUGUUCUGUUCAACGACAGCUUGCAAGAUGGGAUCUUAUCUCACACACAGUUAUAUGAGUUAUUUAAGCAGAUUGACAAAUAGACAUGCUUCUGUAUUAAUGAGUGGUAAGUAAAUUGAGUCAUAAAAGAAAGUUUUUUGAAAUUUAAGUGGGAGUAGCAGAACUCUAUUUGUAAAAAUUGUUCCAUCGCAGUGGGUGAUCUGCUGUCCAGGUAAGAAGAAUGAAUAGAUCUUUUAUUUUAAACA
RNAcentral lists this long non-coding RNA (1275 nucleotides) under Coturnix japonica (Japanese quail). Its description in RNAcentral is "lncRNA (ENSCJPG00005017738.1)". Lineage: Eukaryota; Metazoa; Chordata; Aves; Galliformes; Phasianidae. The record is from RNAcentral.